Molecule: ribosomal RNA, 1313 nt
Filed under: Bacillus sp. (in: firmicutes)
Lineage: Bacteria; Bacillati; Bacillota; Bacilli; Caryophanales; Bacillaceae
Description: bacterial SSU rRNA
Rfam family: Bacterial small subunit ribosomal RNA
Source: RNAcentral
AUCCGUUGAAUAGUUAGCGGCGGACGGGUGAGUAACACGUGGGUAACCUGCCUGUAAGACUGGGAUAACUCCGGGAAACCGGGGCUAAUACCGGAUGCUUGAUUGAACCGCAUGGUUCAAUUAUAAAAGGUGGCUUUUAGCUACCACUUACAGAUGGACCCGCGGCGCAUUAGCUAGUUGGUGAGGUAACGGCUCACCAAGGCGACGAUGCGUAGCCGACCUGAGAGGGUGAUCGGCCACACUGGGACUGAGACACGGCCCAGACUCCUACGGGAGGCAGCAGUAGGGAAUCUUCCGCAAUGGACGAAAGUCUGACGGAGCAACGCCGCGUGAGUGAUGAAGGUUUUCGGAUCGUAAAACUCUGUUGUUAGGGAAGAACAAGUACCGUUCGAAUAGGGCGGUACCUUGACGGUACCUAACCAGAAAGCCACGGCUAACUACGUGCCAGCAGCCGCGGUAAUACGUAGGUGGCAAGCGUUGUCCGGAAUUAUUGGGCGUAAAGCGCGCGCAGGCGGUUUCUUAAGUCUGAUGUGAAAGCCCCCGGCUCAACCGGGGAGGGUCAUUGGAAACUGGGGAACUUGAGUGCAGAAGAGGAGAGUGGAAUUCCACGUGUAGCGGUGAAAUGCGUAGAGAUGUGGAGGAACACCAGUGGCGAAGGCGACUCUCUGGUCUGUAACUGACGCUGAGGCGCGAAAGCGUGGGGAGCGAACAGGAUUAGAUACCCUGGUAGUCCACGCCGUAAACGAUGAGUGCUAAGUGUUAGAGGGUUUCCGCCCUUUAGUGCUGCAGCAAACGCAUUAAGCACUCCGCCUGGGGAGUACGGUCGCAAGACUGAAACUCAAAGGAAUUGACGGGGGCCCGCACAAGCGGUGGAGCAUGUGGUUUAAUUCGAAGCAACGCGAAGAACCUUACCAGGUCUUGACAUCCUCUGACAACCCUAGAGAUAGGGCUUCCCCUUCGGGGGCAGAGUGACAGGUGGUGCAUGGUUGUCGUCAGCUCGUGUCGUGAGAUGUUGGGUUAAGUCCCGCAACGAGCGCAACCCUUGAUCUUAGUUGCCAGCAUUCAGUUGGGCACUCUAAGGUGACUGCCGGUGACAAACCGGAGGAAGGUGGGGAUGACGUCAAAUCAUCAUGCCCCUUAUGACCUGGGCUACACACGUGCUACAAUGGGCAGAACAAAGGGCAGCGAAGCCGCGAGGCUAAGCCAAUCCCACAAAUCUGUUCUCAGUUCGGAUCGCAGUCUGCAACUCGACUGCGUGAAGCUGGAAUCGUUAGUAAUCGCGGAUCAGCAUGCCGCGGUGAAAACGUUCCCGU